Molecule: ribosomal RNA, 236 nt
Filed under: uncultured bacterium
Lineage: Bacteria
Description: partial 16S ribosomal RNA
Rfam family: Bacterial small subunit ribosomal RNA
Source: RNAcentral
GAUCAUAGCUCAGGAUGAACGCUGGCGGCGUGCCUAACACAUGCAAGUCGAACGGACUUACAUUGAAGCCUAGCGAUAUGUAAGUUAGUGGCGGACGGGUGAGUAACGCGUGGGUAACCUGCCUUGUACUGGGGGACAACAGUUGGAAACGACUGCUAAUACCGCAUAAGCGCACAGCUUCACAUGAAGCAGUGUGAAAAACUCCGGUGGUACAAGAUGGACCCGCGUCUGAUUAG